UACGUAGGGCCCGAGCGUUCUCCGGUAUUCUUGGGCGUAAAGCGUACGUAGGCGGUUUGGUAAGACAAUGGUUAAAGCUCCGAGCCUAACUCGGAAAUCGCCGUUGUGACUGCCAGACUAGUCGGUAGCAGGGGCAAGCGGAAUUCUCGGUGUAGGAGUGAAAUCCGUUGAGAUCGAGAAGAACACCAAUGGCGAAGGCAGCUUGCUAGGCUAUCUGAGACGCUGAGGUACGAAAGCGUGGGGAGCGAACGGG
Molecule: ribosomal RNA, 253 nt
Filed under: uncultured bacterium
Lineage: Bacteria
Description: partial 16S ribosomal RNA
Rfam family: Bacterial small subunit ribosomal RNA
Source: RNAcentral